UAUGAGUGCUAUUUUUUCACACUAGUAAUUAACAGGGUAUAGCAGUUUUUUCUUGAAAGUUGUUAUUUAAUAGAGUGUAGUCUUCAUAUAGGAUCACAUUAGGCAUGCAGGCACUUAAGUAUCCUACCUUUCUAACAAGGUUCCUGGGGUUUAGCAAUCAUUUUCUUUAAGUCCGCUUACUGACUCCUUUGCUCACUGUAUGCAGGGUGCAUCGUCUGCAUGGUGGGUAUCUUGUCUACUCGUAUGUUUCCUUUUCCAUUCUUGCAGAAGGUAUUUUCAGACCGUGGGUACUUGGGUCCCUGGAUGUUCAUUAAGUAGCUGUUCCAUGUCUUGUCAUUUUAGAAUCUCUAGGGUGUCUGUAGUCAAAACCUGGGAGGUAGUGUUAACUGGUUUUAUGGCCCUAGCUUGAUCCCAGUGUACAGUAAGGUCAGCGGUGUACACAUGCACUGCCAGAGCUGUCGUUAACUUGACCUUAGCUAAAUCACUUUUAUGUUCUUGUAAACAUUGGGCUAGGGUCUUAUUAGUUAUUCCGAUAUAAGCAGCUUGUUCUUUUGUUUCCUGAUUCAUAAUUGGUAUCCUGUAAACUCCUGUUUUUUCAUGUUCUUACUUCUGAUCCUUCUCAUUUCUAAAUCUAUUAAGCACUGUCAUGGCCCUACUAAUGGCUAUUCUCUUCUCUGUCUUCUUAGAUACCUUCUUAGUAAAUCUCAUCUUGUUAAAAGAGUAUGGUACUGGUAUAAAGCCAGGUCUUGCUACUGCCUGGUUCUCUUCAAUGUGUCACUCUUGUAG
This 786-nucleotide long non-coding RNA is filed under the name Androctonus crassicauda. Lineage: Eukaryota; Metazoa; Arthropoda; Arachnida; Scorpiones; Buthidae. The record is from RNAcentral.